RNAcentral lists this ribosomal RNA (483 nucleotides) under uncultured bacterium. Its description in RNAcentral is "bacterial SSU rRNA". It matches the Rfam family "Bacterial small subunit ribosomal RNA", at positions 24 to 507 of the family's 1533-position model. The record is from RNAcentral.
UCAGAAUGAACGUUGGCGGCGUGGAUUAGGCAUGCAAGUCGCACGAGAACCCGCAAGGGGGGACAGUGGCAAACGGCGUAGUAAGGCGUAGGUGACGUACCCCGAGGACCGGGAUAGCCACGGGAAACUGUGGGUAAUACCGGAUAAUUCCCCUCUUCUUGAAAAGGAGGGGGCAAAGGUGAGAGUCCGUCUUGGGAGCGGCUUACGUAGUAUUAGCUAGUUGGUGAGGUGACGGCUCACCAAGGCGAUGAUGCUUAGGGGGUGUUAGCGCAUGACCCCCACGACUGGGACUGAGAUACUGCCCAGACACCUACGGGUGGCUGCAGUCGAGAAUCUUCGGCAAUGGGCGCAAGCCUGACCGAGCGACGCCGCGUGCGGGAUGAAGGCCCUUGGGUUGUAAACCGCUGUCAGAGGGGAUGAAAUGUAUGUGGGCACUCCCAUGUAUUUGACAUAGCCUCAGAGGAAGCACGGGCUAAGUUCGUG